CCGCAACGUAUGCGGAAUUCAUGGUGUAGCGGUGAAAUGCUUAGAUAUCAUGACGAACUCCGAUUGCGAAGGCAGCGUACGGAGUGUUACUGACGCUUAAGCUCGAAGGUGCGGGUAUCGAACAGGAUUAGAUACCCUGGUAGUCCGCACGGUAAACGAUGGAUGCCCGCUGUUAGCGCCUGGCGUUAGCGGCUAAGCGAAAGCAUUAAGCAUCCCACCUGGGGAGUACGCCGGCAACGGUGAAACUCAAAGGAAUUGACGGGGGGCCGCACAAGCGGAGGAACAUGUGGUUUAAUUCGAUGAUACGCGAGGAACCUUACCCCGGGCUUGAAUUGCAGACGCAGGAUACAGAGAUGUUGACUCCCUUCGGGGCGUCUGUGAAGGUGCUGCAUGGUUGUCGUCAGCUCGUGCCGUGAGGUGUCGGCUUAAGUGCCAUAACGAGCGCAACCCCUUUCCUUAGUUGCCAUCAGGUGAUGCUGGGCACUCUGGGGAUACUGCCACCGCAAGGUGUGAGGAAGGUGGGGAUGACGUCAAAUCAGCACGGCCCUUACGUCCGGGGCUACACACGUGUUACAAUGGCCGGUACAGAGGGACGGUGCGAUGCAAAUCGCAUCCAAUCUUGAAAGCCGGUCCCAGUUCGGACUGAGGUCUGCAACCCGACCUCACGAAGCUGGAUUCGCUAGUAAUCGCGCAUCAGCCAUGGCGCGGUGAAUACGUUCCCGGGCCUUGUACACACCGCCCGUCAAGCCAUGAAAGCCGGGGGUGCCUGAAGUUCGUAACCCGCGAGGAGCGAC
RNAcentral lists this ribosomal RNA (794 nucleotides) under Prevotella intermedia. RNAcentral describes it as "bacterial SSU rRNA". It matches the Rfam family "Bacterial small subunit ribosomal RNA", at positions 650 to 1456 of the family's 1533-position model. The record is from RNAcentral. Lineage: Bacteria; Pseudomonadati; Bacteroidota; Bacteroidia; Bacteroidales; Prevotellaceae.